GCCCAGAUCGUUUACCGUGAAAAAAUUAGAGUGUUCAAAGCAGGCAGAUCCAAUUUUCUGCCACCGAAUACAUUAGCAUGGGAUAAUGGAAUAGGACCCUGUCCUCCUAUUUUCAGUUGGUUUUGGCAGCGCGAGGACUAGGGUAAUGAUUAAUAGGGAUAGUUGGGGGCAUUAAUAUUUAAUUGUCAGAGGUGAAAUUCUUGGAUUUAUGAAAGAUUAACUUCUGCGAAAGCAUCUGCCAAGGAUGUUUUCAUUAAUCAAGAACGAAAGUUAGGGGAUCGAAGACGAUCAGAUACCGUCGUAGUCUUAACCAUAAACGAUGCCGACCAGCGAUUAGGAGACGUUGAAUACAAAACACCACCAUCGGCGCGGUCGUCCUUGGCGUCUCGGUUUCGGCCGGGGCGCGGGGAUGGCUUAGCCCGG
RNAcentral lists this ribosomal RNA (423 nucleotides) under Acanthamoeba sp. K1-R-F11. Its description in RNAcentral is "SSU rRNA". It matches the Rfam family "Eukaryotic small subunit ribosomal RNA", at positions 741 to 1116 of the family's 1831-position model. The record is from RNAcentral. Lineage: Eukaryota; Discosea; Longamoebia; Acanthamoebidae.